UUAGGGUUCCAGUAAAGCACUUAAACUAAACAGAGAAUAUCCCGUAAUUAUCUCUGCAGUAACAUUUCAUCUCAGGUGGGGUAGUUCGACACGAUGAGGUUCUUAUUCUCAUUGCACGUGUGUCUACUGUUGCUGGCUAAUGCAUGUAACAUAAUACAUGGACAAUCAUCAGGUAGGACACUGUCAUCAAUCUUUCAUAUACAUAAUUAACAUUUUCUUUUUACAUGACACUCUUACUUGAUUCUGAUUGGUCACUUAUGACCUUAGGGUAUUUUAUUCAACUACACCAGUCAUUAUAAUCCAGGUACUGCCAGCCCUCUUGACCGGUGAAUUUUUACCUCCUAAAUGGAUAAUAGAUUUUCCAUUUCAUUUUUUAAACUGUGCCUCAGGAUAUUUUUUAACAAAUAAUUUAUAGCCAUUUUCAAUCCUGUUUUUGUUCUAAUUU
Triplophysa rosa is the source of this 445-nucleotide long non-coding RNA. RefSeq lists it as uncharacterized. The record is from RefSeq and is a predicted model, not a curated record. The transcript has 3 exons. NCBI's taxonomy places the organism in Eukaryota, Metazoa, Chordata, Actinopteri, Cypriniformes, Nemacheilidae.